Molecule: ribosomal RNA, 253 nt
Filed under: uncultured bacterium
Lineage: Bacteria
Description: partial 16S ribosomal RNA
Rfam family: Bacterial small subunit ribosomal RNA
Source: RNAcentral
UACAGAGGGUGCAAGCGUUAAUCGGAAUUACUGGGCGUAAAGCGUGCGUAGUCGGUUAUUUAAGUCGGGUGUGAAAGCCCCGGGCUCAACCUGGGAAUUGCAUUCGAUACUGGAUAGCUAGAGUUCGGCAGAGGGAAGCGGAAUUUCCGGUGUAGCGGUGAAAUGCGUAGAUAUCUGGAGGAACACCGGUGGCGAAGGCGGCAUCCUGGACCGGCAUUGACGCUGAGGCGCGAAAGCCAGGGGAGCAAACGGG